GACGUAGGGCGCGAGCGUUGUCCGGAUUUAUUGGGCGUAAAGAGCUUGUAGGCGGUUUGUCGCGUCUGCUGUGAAAUUUCGGGGCUCAACCCCGAACUUGCAGUGGGUACGGGCAGACUAGAGUGUGGUAGGGGAGACUGGAAUUCCUGGUGUAGCGGUGAAAUGCGCAGAUAUCAGGAGGAACACCGAUGGCGAAGGCAGGUCUCUGGGCCUUACCUGACGCUCAGGUGCGAAAGCUAGGGGAGCGAACAGG
RNAcentral lists this ribosomal RNA (253 nucleotides) under uncultured bacterium. RNAcentral describes it as "partial 16S ribosomal RNA". It matches the Rfam family "Bacterial small subunit ribosomal RNA", at positions 524 to 776 of the family's 1533-position model. The record is from RNAcentral.